GGGAGGCAGCAGUGGGGAAUAUUGCACAAUGGGCGCAAGCCUGAUGCAGCCAUGCCGCGUGUGUGAAGAAGGCCUUCGGGUUGUAAAGCACUUUCAGUCGUGAGGAAGGUAGUGUAGUUAAUAGCUGCAUUAUUUGACGUUAGCGACAGAAGAAGCACCGGCUAACUCCGUGCCAGCAGCCGCGGUAAUACGGAGGGUGCGAGCGUUAAUCGGAAUUACUGGGCGUAAAGCGCAUGCAGGUGGUUUGUUAAGUCAGAUGUGAAAGCCCGGGGCUCAACCUCGGAAUAGCAUUUGAAACUGGCAGACUAGAGUACUGUAGAGGGGGGUAGAAUUUCAGGUGUAGCGGUGAAAUGCGUAGAGAUCUGAAGGAAUACCGGUGGCGAAGGCGGCCCCCUGGACAGAUACUGACACUCAGAUGCGAAAGCGUGGGGAGCAAACAGGAUUAGAUACCCUGGUAGUCCACGCCGUAAACGAUGUCUACUUGGAGGUUGUGGCCUUGAGCCGUGGCUUUCGGAGCUAACGCGUUAAGUAGACCGCCUGGGGAGUACGGUCGCAAGAUUAAAACUCAAAUGAAUUGACGGGGGCCCGCACAAGCGGUGGAGCAUGUGGUUUAAUUCGAUGCAACGCGAAGAACCUUACCUACUCUUGACAUCCAGAGAACUUUCCAGAGAUGGAUUGGUGCCUUCGGGAACUCUGAGACAG
RNAcentral lists this ribosomal RNA (702 nucleotides) under Vibrio sp. Its description in RNAcentral is "bacterial SSU rRNA". It matches the Rfam family "Bacterial small subunit ribosomal RNA", at positions 343 to 1037 of the family's 1533-position model. Lineage: Bacteria; Pseudomonadati; Pseudomonadota; Gammaproteobacteria; Vibrionales; Vibrionaceae. The record is from RNAcentral.